This 440-nucleotide ribosomal RNA is filed under the name uncultured bacterium. RNAcentral's name for it is "partial 16S ribosomal RNA". It matches the Rfam family "Bacterial small subunit ribosomal RNA", at positions 338 to 795 of the family's 1533-position model. The record is from RNAcentral.
CCUACGGGUGGCAGCAGUGGGGAAUAUUGCACAAUGGGGGAAACCCUGAUGCAGCGACGCCGCGUGAGUGAAGAAGUAUUUAGGUGUGUAAAGCUCUAUCAGCAGGGAAGAAAAUGAAGAUACGUGACUAAGAAGCCCAGGCUAACUACGUGCCAGAAGCCGCGGUAAUACGUAGGCAGCAAGCGUUAUCCGGAGUUACUGGGUGUAAAGGGAGCGUAGACGGUGGAACAAGUCAGAAGUGAAAACCCGGGGCUCAACUUCGGGAGUGCGUUUGAAACUGUUUGGCUGGAGUGUAGGAGCGGUAAGCGGAAUGCAUAGUGUAGCGGUGAAAUGCGUAGAUAUUAGGCAGAACACCAGUGGCGAAGGCGGCUUACUGGACUGUAUCUGACGUUGAGGCUCGAAAGCGUGGGGAGCAAACAGGAUUAGAUACCCGUGUAGUC